This 371-nucleotide ribosomal RNA is filed under the name uncultured organism. RNAcentral's name for it is "partial 16S ribosomal RNA". It matches the Rfam family "Bacterial small subunit ribosomal RNA", at positions 527 to 896 of the family's 1533-position model. The record is from RNAcentral.
GUAGGUGGCAAGCGUUGUCCGGAAUUAUUGGGCGUAAAGCGCGCGCAGGCGGUCCUUUAAGUCUGAUGUGAAAGCCCACGGCUCAACCGUGGAGGGUCAUUGGAAACUGGAGAACUUGAGUACAGAAGAGGAAAGCGGAAUUCCACGUGUAGCGGUGAAAUGCGUAGAGAUGUGGAGGAACACCAGUGGCGAAGGCGGCUUUCUGGUCUGUAACUGACGCUGAGGCGCGAAAGCGUGGGGAGCAAACAGGAUUAGAUACCCUGGUAGUCCACGCCGUAAACGAUGAGUGCUAAGUGUUAGGGGGUUUCCGCCCCCCUUAGUGCUGCAGCUAACGCAUUAAGCACUCCGCCUGGGAUACGGCCGCAAGGCUG